UGGGGAACUUUGGACAAUGGGCGAAAGCCUGAUCCAGCAAUGCCGCGUGUGUGAAGAAGGCCUUCGGGUUGUAAAGCACUUUUUGUCCGGAAAGAAAUCCUUGGCUCUAAUACAGUCGGGGGGAUGACGGUACCGGAAGAAUAAGCACCGGCUAACUACGUGCCAGCAGCCGCGGUAAUACGUAGGGUGCAAGCGUUAAUCGGAAUUACUGGGCGUAAAGCGUGCGCAGGCGGUUUGCUAAGACCGAUGUGAAAUCCCCGGGCUCAACCUGGGAACUGCAUUGGUGACUGGCAGGCUAGAGUAUGGCAGAGGGGGGUAGAAUUCCACGUGUAGCAGUGAAAUGCGUAGAGAUGUGGAGGAAUACCGAUGGCGAAGGCAGCCCCCUGGGCCAAUACUGACGCUCAUGCACGAAAGCGUGGGGAGCAAACAGGAUUAGAUACCCUGGUAGUCCACGCCCUAAACGAUGUCAACUAGUUGUUGGGGAUUCAUUUCCUUAGUAACGUAGCUAACGCGUGAAGUUGACCGCCUGGGGAGUACGGUCGCAAGAUUAAAACUCAAAGGAAUUGACGGGGUCAUAGCUGUUUCCU
Molecule: ribosomal RNA, 587 nt
Filed under: uncultured bacterium
Lineage: Bacteria
Description: partial 16S ribosomal RNA
Rfam family: Bacterial small subunit ribosomal RNA
Source: RNAcentral